RNAcentral lists this ribosomal RNA (492 nucleotides) under uncultured bacterium. RNAcentral describes it as "partial 16S ribosomal RNA". It matches the Rfam family "Bacterial small subunit ribosomal RNA", at positions 29 to 507 of the family's 1533-position model. The record is from RNAcentral.
AGUGAACGCUGGCGGUAGGCCUAACACAUGCAAGUCGAACGGCAGCACAGUAAGAGCUUGCUCUUACGGGUGGCGAGUGGCGGACGGGUGAGGAAUACAUCGGAAACUACUUUUUCGUGGGGGAUAACGUAGGGAAACUUACGCUAAUACCGCAUACGACCUACGGGUGAAAGCAGGGGAUCUUCGGACCUUGCGCGAUUGAAUGAGCCGAUGUCGGAUUAGCUAGUUGGCGGGGUAAAGGCCCACCAAGGCGACGAUCCGUAGCUGGUCUGAGAGGAUGAUCAGCCACACUGGAACUGAGACACGGUCCAGACUCCUACGGGAGGCAGCAGUGGGGAAUAUUGGACAAUGGGCGCAAGCCUGAUCCAGCCAUACCGCGUGGGUGAAGAAGGCCUUCGGGUUGUAAAGCCCUUUUGUUGGGAAAGAAAAGCAGCAGGUUAAUACCCCGCUGUUCUGACGGUACCCAAAGAAUAAGCACCGGCUAACUUCGUG